Bombyx mori (domestic silkworm) is the source of this 84-nucleotide non-coding RNA. Lineage: Eukaryota; Metazoa; Arthropoda; Insecta; Lepidoptera; Bombycidae. The record is from Rfam.
UUAACUUGAAUUUGUAUGGAGUUGGAACGUUUGCCUACGUUUGCCGCUAAAGGCGCGGUUCCAACUGCUUACAAAUUUAAGUUU